Molecule: ribosomal RNA, 357 nt
Filed under: uncultured bacterium
Lineage: Bacteria
Description: partial 16S ribosomal RNA
Rfam family: Bacterial small subunit ribosomal RNA
Source: RNAcentral
CCUACGGGAGGCAGCAGUGAGGAAUAUUGGUCAAUGGGCUUACGCCUGAACCAGCCAAGUCGCGUGAGGGAAGACUGCCCUAUGGGUUGUAAACCUCUUUUGUCAGGGAGCAACGCCGGCUACGUGUAGCCGUUCUGAGAUUACCUGAAGAAAAAGCAUCGGCUAACUCCGUGCCAGCAGCCGCGGUAAUACGGAGGAUGCGAGCGUUAUCCGGAUUUAUUGGGUUUAAAGGGUGCGUAGGCGGAAUGCCAAGUCAGCGGUAAAAUCGCGGGGCUCAACCUCGAUCUGCCGGUGAAACUGGCGUUCUUGAGUGGGCGAGGAGUAUGCGGGAUGCGGGGUGUAGCGGUGAAAUGCAUA